UACAGAGGUCCCGAGCGUUGUUCGGAUUCAUUGGGCGUAAAGGGUGCGUAGGCGGUGGGGUAAGUUGGAUGUGAAAGCCUUGAGCUCAACUCAAGAAAUGCAUUCAGGACUGGGCGGCUAGAGGACCGGAGAGGAUAGUGGAAUUCCCAGUGUAGUGGUGAAAUACGUAGAGAUUGGGAAGAACACCCGUGGCGAAGGCGGCUCUCUGGGACGGUACUGACGCUGAGACGCGAAAGCGUGGGGAGCGAACAGG
This 253-nucleotide ribosomal RNA is filed under the name uncultured bacterium. RNAcentral's name for it is "partial 16S ribosomal RNA". It matches the Rfam family "Bacterial small subunit ribosomal RNA", at positions 524 to 776 of the family's 1533-position model. The record is from RNAcentral.